RNAcentral lists this ribosomal RNA (254 nucleotides) under uncultured bacterium. RNAcentral describes it as "partial 16S ribosomal RNA". It matches the Rfam family "Bacterial small subunit ribosomal RNA", at positions 524 to 776 of the family's 1533-position model. The record is from RNAcentral.
UACGGGGGGGAGCAAGCGUUGUUCGGAUUUACUGGGCGUAAAGGGCGCGUAGGCGGCGUGACAAGUCACUUGUGAAAUCUCCGGGCUUAACUCGGAACGGUCAAGUGAUACUGUCGUGCUAGAGUACAGAAGGGGCAACUGGAAUUCUCGGUGUAGCGGUGAAAUGCGUAGAUAUCGAGAGGAACACCUGCGGCGAAGGCGGGUUGCUGGGCUGAUACCGACGCUGAGGCACGAAAGCUAGGGGAGCAAACAGG